Molecule: non-coding RNA, 796 nt
Organism: Aegilops tauschii subsp. strangulata
Lineage: Eukaryota; Viridiplantae; Streptophyta; Magnoliopsida; Poales; Poaceae
Source: RefSeq, a predicted model, not a curated record
UAUUAUUGUAUAAAUAUUGGUCAAACAUAAAAAAAUUGACUUUUCAACAAAGUUAAAAAUAAACUCUUUCAAGGAUGGAGGGAGUACAUACUGCCCGUACUAGGAUGUGCAGUACUUCUACAUCGAAUGUGUAUCGGUUUCAAUGCAUGCACACUCCCAUUAUGAAAUGGCCGAUCACAUCAAUAAUUUGCUGCCGUGUUCUCUGUGUUGAAACUAAAUGGACGGACACGGCCACACGAGCCGUCCGAACCGAAUCUAACAUUCUUAAAAAGUUGCUCUUCACUUCUACCUAUUCUUUCAACAUGCACACUAUCCACAUCAUCUCUAUGCCACAUCAUCAAUCAGUCUGCAAAAUCAGCCAAUCACUCUUUUCCACCCUACGGUCAUGGCCUAGAAAAGAAUUUAACUAAUUUUUAUUGGCAUGUAGACAUGCAUGUCGUUGCUCAGUUUCCCUACUUAAAUUAACACCGAACGCCAAUGGUGUCAAUUCGCAAACAAAAAAGAAAAUCCCAACCUCUUCUCCUUCCCGCCCGUCCCAUCCCCUUCCCCUACAGGCUCCUAAUUCCUUCAUUCAGUUACCACAGCCGAACAGGCACUGCUCCACCUCUCCCCUUCGAUCUAUAAAUGUUUGCCUGAAAAGCAAAAGCCCCAUCAUAGCGCUACUCCUCUUCGGAUUGCCCCUCCUCCUCCCUAAAAUCAAAGUGUCAUUUACAAUACAUGGUGUGGAUUAACUCCUUGAUUGGCGGGGAAUGGAGAUCAUGCCAGCUAUUCAUACUUUUGGGUGGGGCGGAUCGAG